AGGCCAAAUCCUACCCACUCCAGAAUCCGGAAAGCUGAGAUUCCUGACAAACAAUUCUGGGAGAGGCUGCCAAUUCGGGUUUUCAGGAAAACAUUGACUGAAGACUUUGACAAGGCCCUUCAAUACGAAAAACAAGCUGAAAUGUUUUCGAGCCCAGAAGAAGUGUUAACCAAACGGAGCCACAUCACCCCUGAACGUUAUAGAAACGAUGAGGAAGAUGUGUUUGAUGCUGACGAUGAAGAGGAAAUUCGGCCAAAAAAGAAGUGCAGAAAAGAGAAAACACAGAUCUUCGUCCAGGCACCCCCACUGCCAGAGCUCCCAACCUUUAACUUUCCAAUCUCCAGCGAGUACCAGACCACUUCAGCCAGUACCAGCCAAUACCAGACCACUCCAAGGCAUCCAGGCCGACCUCACAGCCCAGCGAGAAGCAGCACUUCCAGGCUCAGUCCAGACAGGAAUGCAUCCGGCUCAAGCCAGUACCAGACCGCUCAAGCCAGUACCAGACCGCUCAAGCCAGUACCAGACCACUCCAGCCAGUACGAGUCAGUACCAGACCGCAGGAAUGCCCUUGA
Long non-coding RNA from Entelurus aequoreus (snake pipefish), 572 nucleotides. RefSeq lists it as uncharacterized. The record is from RefSeq and is a predicted model, not a curated record. The transcript is spliced from 3 exons. NCBI's taxonomy places the organism in Eukaryota, Metazoa, Chordata, Actinopteri, Syngnathiformes, Syngnathidae.